CGGAAGAUCCAAGCGUUAUCCGGAUUUAUUGGGUUUAAAGGGUGCGUAGGCGGAAUAGUAAGUCAGUGGUGAAAGCCUGCAGCUUAACUGUAGAAUUGCCAUUGAUACUGCUAAUCUUGAGUACAUAUGAAGUGGGCGGAAUGUGUCAUGUAGCGGUGAAAUACUUAGAUAUGACACAGAACACCGAUUGCGAAGGCAGCUCACUAAACUGUAACUGACGCUGAGGCACGAAAGCAUGGGGAGCAAACAGGAUUAGAUACCCUGGUAGUCCAUGCCGUAAACUAUGAUUACUCGAUGUGUGCGAUACACUGUACGCGUCUAAGCGAAAGCGUUAAGUAAUCCACCUGGGAAGUACGACCGCAAGGUUG
RNAcentral lists this ribosomal RNA (368 nucleotides) under uncultured organism. RNAcentral's name for it is "bacterial SSU rRNA". It matches the Rfam family "Bacterial small subunit ribosomal RNA", at positions 526 to 896 of the family's 1533-position model. The record is from RNAcentral.